UCUGGUGGCCAUAGCAGAGAGGAACCACCCGGUCCCAUUCCGAACCCGGAAGUGAAACUCUCUAGCGCCGAUGGUAGUGGGACGAUAG
This 88-nucleotide ribosomal RNA is filed under the name bacterium. The record is from RNAcentral.